GAUGAAGAACGUAGCGAAAUGCGAUAAGUAAUGUGAAUUGCAGAAUUCAGUGAAUCAUCGAGUCUUUGAACGCACAUUGCGCCCCCUGGUAUUCCGGGGGGCAUGCCUGUCCGAGCGUCAUUGCUGCCCUCAAGCACGGCUUGUGUGUUGGGCCGUCGUCCCCCUCCUAGGGGACGGGCCCGGAAGGCAGCGGCGGCACCGCGUCCGGUCCUCGAGCGUAUGGGGCUUCGUCACCCGCUCCGUAGGCCCGGCCGGCGCUUGCCGACGACCAUCAAUCUCUUUCUCCAGGUUGACCUCGGAUCAGGUAGGGAUACCCGCUGAACUUAAGCAUAUCAAUAAGCGGAGGA
This 347-nucleotide unclassified non-coding RNA is filed under the name soil metagenome. Its description in RNAcentral is "partial contains 5.8S ribosomal RNA, internal transcribed spacer 2, and large subunit ribosomal RNA". The stretch from base 1 to 120 matches the Rfam family "5.8S ribosomal RNA", at positions 35 to 154 of the family's 154-position model. The record is from RNAcentral.